CAGAUUGAUGCUGUGUAUUCAGCGAUGAAAGCGUUGGGUUAUGCUGACGUGGACAUCGUUGUGGCGGAAACUGGGUGGCCUUCUGCCGGUGACCCGAAUCAACCAGGUGUGAGUUUGGAGAACGCUAUUUCGUACAAUGUGAACCUCGUGAAGCACGUAAACUCCGGUGUAGGAACGCCAUUGAUGCCAAACAGGACCUUUGAAACUUACGUUUUCUCCCUAUUCAAUGAGGACCUUAAACCUAG
Molecule: unclassified non-coding RNA, 245 nt
Filed under: Hevea brasiliensis (rubber tree)
Lineage: Eukaryota; Viridiplantae; Streptophyta; Magnoliopsida; Malpighiales; Euphorbiaceae
Source: RNAcentral